CCACUCAAAAGGUUCUCUCCCAAGAGGAGCACCCUCAGAUCAGAAUCAGCAACUGAAGUUGGAAUCAAACCAGACAAGAAAUUACCUUUGAGGUUGAGAGUCAGUAAACUCCCACGGAGAUUUUGUUACCUUGCAAGCUGAGAUGUGCGACAUUUGAAAACUCGCAAGAUGGUAUAGGGCCUGGAAGAAAGUUAUCCGAAAGGUCCAAGUAGAACACAAUGGAAGCGAACAUUUCACAGGA
Molecule: unclassified non-coding RNA, 241 nt
Filed under: Hevea brasiliensis (rubber tree)
Lineage: Eukaryota; Viridiplantae; Streptophyta; Magnoliopsida; Malpighiales; Euphorbiaceae
Source: RNAcentral